CAGCGGGACCGGGCCCCUCUGGCGAGCGAUGCAAGCGCUCGUGAUGUCGGACCGCAUCG
Non-coding RNA from Caulobacter segnis ATCC 21756, 59 nucleotides. The record is from Rfam. Lineage: Bacteria; Pseudomonadati; Pseudomonadota; Alphaproteobacteria; Caulobacterales; Caulobacteraceae.